GUGGGGAAUCUUCCGCAAUGGACGAAAGUCUGACGGAGCAACGCCGCGUGAGUGAAGAAGGUUUUCGGAUCGUAAAGCUCUUUCGUUAGGGACGAACGUGCUCUUUGUGAAUAAUGAGGAGUAAUGACGGUACCUAAAUAAGAAGCCACGGCUAACUACGUGCCAGCAGCCGCGGUAAUACGUAGGUGGCAAGCGUUGUCCGGAAUUUUUGGGCGUAAAGCGCGCGCAGGCGGGAUAUCAAGUCUGUCUUAAAAGUGCGAGGCUCAACCUCGUGAGGGGACAGAAACUGGUAUUCUUGAGUGUCGGAGAGGAAAGUGGAAUUCCAAGUGUAGCGGUGAAAUGCGUAGAGAUUUGGAAGAACACCAGUGGCGAAGGCGACUUUCUGGACGAUGUCUGACGCUGAGGCGCGAAAGCUAGGGGAGCGAACGGGAUUAGAUACCCCAGUAGUCC
This 450-nucleotide ribosomal RNA is filed under the name uncultured bacterium. RNAcentral describes it as "partial 16S ribosomal RNA". It matches the Rfam family "Bacterial small subunit ribosomal RNA", at positions 354 to 796 of the family's 1533-position model. The record is from RNAcentral.